AUUUCACAAACAAGCUUUAUGUGGGCUCAAGUGGGUUUGUUCCAAAACCCAAGAACUGACGAGAGAUUCCUCGCUCCAUGUUCAGACACAUGCAGUAUUAUGUGCAAUAGAUUUUUGGGAGACAGUCGGAUAUCCUGUCUGGGUGUUUUACUCUACAUCGUUUUGCAUACCUAGGCGAAAUAUAUAAACGUUUCACCAUACACCCCCGUGGCUUGCCAUUUAAUUAGAUCCCCGGGGUGCGGAUCAGUUUGGCACCGUGUCUGCGUGCAAGCGAAACCGGCUGUUUUUUUUUGUUUUUUUUUUGCUCCCGGAGCCUUGGCUGCGGUCCUCGCGCUACUUCACUUCUGCACCGGCGGCGCGGGAGGAAAAUCGAGCCCGCAGUCCAGCUGCUGCAGCUGGGCUAAAUUGUUCUGCACGACUCCGACAGGCGACAAUCUAAGCGUUGCAGCCGUCGACAAGCAGAGUGUAAUGUUUUGGCCGAUGUGUGAGUCGCUGUGGGAAUGAGACUGCGUGGUAGGGAUUUGGAGGAUUCCACUGUCUCCUGGAUACCAAGCGUCCUGGGUGUGCAGAGCGUCAGGCUCCGCCUCCGCCUUGAUCACUGUGACGACAGGGGGAGGGGUCUUUGGCAGCUGGUUGACCUGGGAGAGGAAGCGCAGAGUGGGCGUCGGAUACGAGAUAGGACACCUCCUACUUGUUCUCAAAGUCUGAUGAGUAUUCCUGCUGCUGC
Long non-coding RNA from Sinocyclocheilus anshuiensis, 727 nucleotides. RefSeq lists it as uncharacterized. NCBI's taxonomy places the organism in Eukaryota, Metazoa, Chordata, Actinopteri, Cypriniformes, Cyprinidae. The record is from RefSeq and is a predicted model, not a curated record. The transcript has 3 exons.